Non-coding RNA from Schizosaccharomyces pombe (fission yeast), 1062 nucleotides. The record is from the annotation of a GenBank genome assembly. NCBI's taxonomy places the organism in Eukaryota, Fungi, Ascomycota, Schizosaccharomycetes, Schizosaccharomycetales, Schizosaccharomycetaceae.
AGCCGUAAGACAUACUUCCUCCAAUAAGACCACCAAGUCCAUUCCAGGCUACAAGGAAUGCCAUACGAAAAAAUUGUUCUUCUUUUCUAUACCAUUGUGCAAUAAACAAAACAAAAGCUGGCGUAAUAACUGAUUCCAAUAUACCCAACAAAGUACGAGUAGCGAUAUAGGAAGCAUAAGAAUGCACCAGGCAAGUCAAGGUCAUUAAUAUACCCCAGGCCACAAUGAAGGCAGACGUUACUUUGCUAAGAGGAAAUUUUUGUAACAGAGUGGAUAAUGGUAACGAGAAUACCAUAAAACCAAGAUAAAAAGACGUACCAACCCAAUUGUAUUGAUUGCCCACCAUAUUUAAAUCGGUGCGAAUACCCAUAAUUGAUGAAUAAUUACUGGUGGAUUUGUCCAUAUAUUGAAAUGCUGAAAUGAGGCAGAGAAGUGGCAUAACCCAUAAAUCUGUCUUUAAUUUGAGUUUUCGAUUUAGCGAUUUGUCAAUAAUGGGAUGUUUCUCUGCAAAAAUCACAGCAACAUCCUCUUGGCUGUCUGAUCCUUUUUCACCCAACUCCUUAAUACUGUAAUUUUCUUCUUCUGUCUUCUCCAUGAUGAGAUUAGUAGUAAUUGUUGUGAAUGUAAGCACAAUAAUAAAUAUUUGAACUUUCCUUCGUCCUUUAUAUAAUUGAAAGCGUCAAAGCAUUAUCAUUGAUACAAACCAGAUAAGCUACAACUAUGUUGAUUUUAGCAGACAAAGGGCUGCAACAAGUCAACAAAUUUGACAGAUUAGUUUGCAAAAUACUUAUUUUACAAGUAUCUACAGCAUUUUGUCUCAGAUUCAAUUUCCAACUUGGUCUUCCGUGGGUAGAAUAGGUUGAAAUUUCGCAUCAGGUAUGCAUACAAUCAACAUGAAAAUCCCCAGAUUUUCUUAUUUUCUCAUCCACGGAUCUUACAUCCGUGGAUAGAAGUCGGAGUAUGAAGGUGCCAUUUUGGGGUGUACAACUUGCAACAUUAAUCUACCUUUUUUUCUCUAAAGAUUACCACUAUUGAUUUAACGGACUAAGAAAUUAUAAAAAU